This 253-nucleotide ribosomal RNA is filed under the name uncultured bacterium. RNAcentral describes it as "partial 16S ribosomal RNA". It matches the Rfam family "Bacterial small subunit ribosomal RNA", at positions 524 to 776 of the family's 1533-position model. The record is from RNAcentral.
UACGGAGGGUGCAAGCGUUAUCCGGAUUCACUGGGUUUAAAGGGUGCGUAGGCGGGUAUGUAAGUCCGUGGUGAAAUCUCCGAGCUUAACUCGGAAACUGCCAUGGGUACUGUGUAUCUUGAAUGUUGUGGAGGUGAGCGGAAUAUGUCAUGUAGCGGUGAAAUGCUUAGAUAUGACAUAGAACACCAAUUGCGAAGGCAGCUCACUACACAAAUAUUGACGCUGAGGCACGAAAGCGUGGGGAUCAAACAGG